GAUGAACGCUAGCGGCAGGCUUAACACAUGCAAGUCGAGGGGCAGCAUGAGACGGAGAUUCGUCGAAGUCUUGAUGGCGACCGGCGCAAGGGUGCGUAACGCGUGAGCAACUUGCCCGUUUCUGGGGAAUAACCGGUGGAAACGCCGACUAAUACCCCAUAGUAUUGAGUUUAGGCAUCUUUACUCAAUUAAAGAAUUUCGGUGAAAGAUGGUCUCGCGUCUGAUUAGCUAGUUGGUAAGGUAACGGCUUACCAAGGCAACGAUCAGUAGCCGGAUUGAGAGGUUGAACGGCCACACUGGAACUGAGACACGGUCCAG
This 318-nucleotide ribosomal RNA is filed under the name uncultured bacterium. RNAcentral's name for it is "bacterial SSU rRNA". It matches the Rfam family "Bacterial small subunit ribosomal RNA", at positions 28 to 334 of the family's 1533-position model. The record is from RNAcentral.